This 428-nucleotide long non-coding RNA is filed under the name Salvia miltiorrhiza (redroot sage). RNAcentral describes it as "long non-coding RNA (SMIL_LNC006023)". The record is from RNAcentral. Lineage: Eukaryota; Viridiplantae; Streptophyta; Magnoliopsida; Lamiales; Lamiaceae.
GAAAAUAGUAAUAAACACACAAUCUUUGUGGACGGAGGGAAUAUUAAACAACCGGCUUCCCCAAAAACAUAUACAUAAUAGAAUGAAUAUUGAAACUGAACCUAAUUGCAAGCACGCACAUAUACACAGCAAUACUACAACACACUUGAAACAAAACAAGCAACUCAAAUCCACAUCAUAUUCAACUUCCAUCACCUGCAAUUCGUACAGCAGCAGGGAACAAAAAGCAACUUGUUGCGAUGAUGAUUCGUAGUUAAGCUCUAGAGGGAGUAUAAAUGAAGAUAGGCUAUACGACACGACACGACACAUACCUAUAUAUACAUUCCCUAUCAUUUAUACUCACGAUCUUCUACCGCGUGCAAAAGAUGAGAGUUGCAUGCAUGACAGAAUCUCCAUUGGUGAUACUUUGCCUCUCAUUUUCUUUUUCA